This 483-nucleotide ribosomal RNA is filed under the name uncultured bacterium. RNAcentral's name for it is "partial 16S ribosomal RNA". It matches the Rfam family "Bacterial small subunit ribosomal RNA", at positions 28 to 523 of the family's 1533-position model. The record is from RNAcentral.
GACGAACGCUGGCGGCGUGCUUAACACAUGCAAGUCGAACGAUGAAGCCGGAGCUUGCUCCGGUGGAUUAGUGGCGAACGGGUGAGUAACACGUGAGCAAUCUGCCCUUGACUCUGGGAUAACUUCGGGAAACUGUAGCUAAUACCGGAUACGACACCUUGGGGCAUCCCCGCGUGUGGACAGAAUUUCGGUCAAGGAUGAGCUCGCGGCCUAUCAGCUAGUUGGUGAGGUAAUGGCUCACCAAGGCGACGACGGGGAGACGGACUGAGAGGGGGACCGGCCACAAUGGAAAUGAGACACGGGCAAGACUCAUACGGGAGGAAGAAGUGGGGAAUAUUGCAAAAGGGGCGAAAGACUGAUGCAGCAACGACGCGGGAGGGAGGAAGGCGUUCGGGUUGUAAACCUCUUUUAGCAGGGAAGAAGAGAAAGUGAAGGUAACGGAAGAAAAAGCACCGGAUAACUACGUGCCAGCAGCCGCGGUAA